GGGAAUGGCGGAGCUACCAUGCAAGUCGAGCGGUAACAGGGCUAGCUUGCUGCCUGCUGACGAGCGGCGGACGGGUGAGUAAUGCAUAGGAAUCUGCCCGAUAGUGGGGGAUAACCUGGGGAAACCCAGGCUAAUACCGCAUACGUCCUACGGGAGAAAGGGGGCUUCGGCUCCCGCUAUUGGAUGAGCCUAUGUCGGAUUAGCUAGUUGGUGAGGUAAUGGCUCACCAAGGCCACGAUCCGUAGCUGGUCUGAGAGGAUGAUCAGCCACAUCGGGACUGAGACACGGCCCGAACUCCUACGGGAGGCAGCAGUGGGGAAUAUUGGACAAUGGGGGCAACCCUGAUCCAGCCAUGCCGCGUGUGUGAAGAAGGCCCUCGGGUUGUAAAGCACUUUCAGCGAGGAAGAACGCCUAUCGGUUAAUACCCGGUAGGAAAGACAUCACUCGCAGAAGAAGCACCGGCUAACUCCGUGCCAGCAGCCGCGGUAAUACGGAGGGUGCAAGCGUUAAUCGGAAUUACUGGGCGUAAAGCGCGCGUAGGUGGCUUGAUAAGCCGGUUGUGAAAGCCCCGGGCUCAACCUGGGAACGGCAUCCGGAACUGUCAAGCUAGAGUGCAGGAGAGGAAGGUAGAAUUCCCGGUGUAGCGGUGAAAUGCGUAGAGAUCGGGAGGAAUACCAGUGGCGAAGGCGGCCUUCUGGACUGACACUGACACUGAGGUGCGAAAGCGUGGGUAGCAAACAGGAUUAGUCCCC
This 752-nucleotide ribosomal RNA is filed under the name Halomonas sp. Its description in RNAcentral is "bacterial SSU rRNA". It matches the Rfam family "Bacterial small subunit ribosomal RNA", at positions 38 to 786 of the family's 1533-position model. The record is from RNAcentral. Lineage: Bacteria; Pseudomonadati; Pseudomonadota; Gammaproteobacteria; Oceanospirillales; Halomonadaceae.